GAUGAACGCUGGCGGCGUGCUUAACACAUGCAAGUCGAACGGAAAGGCUCCUGCUUGCAGGGGCACUCGAGUGGCGAACGGGUGAGUAACACGUGGGUGAUCUGCCCUGCACUUCGGGAUAAGCCUGGGAAACUGGGUCUAAUACCGGAUAGGACCAUCGUUUAGUGUCGGUGGUGGAAAGUUUUUUCGGUGUGGGAUGAGCUCGCGGCCUAUCAGCUUGUUGUUGGGGUAAUGGUCUACCAAGGCGUCGCCGGGUAGCCGGCCUGAGAGGGUGUACGGCCACAUUGGGACUGAGAUACGGACCAGACUCCUACGGGAGGCAGCAGUGGGGAAUAUUGCACAGUGGGCGCAAGCCUGAUGCAGCGACGCCGCGUGGGGGAUGACGGCCUUCGGGUUGUAAACUCCUUUCGCCAGGGACGAAGCGAAAGUGACGGUACCUGGAUAAGAAGCACCGGCUAACUACGUG
Molecule: ribosomal RNA, 466 nt
Filed under: uncultured bacterium
Lineage: Bacteria
Description: partial 16S ribosomal RNA
Rfam family: Bacterial small subunit ribosomal RNA
Source: RNAcentral